UACGUAGGUGGCAAGCGUUAUCCGGAAUUAUUGGGCGUAAAGAGCGCGCAGGUGGUUGAUUAAGUCUGAUGUGAAAGCCCACGGCUUAACCGUGGAGGGUCAUUGGAAACUGGUCGACUUGAGUGCAGAAGAGGGAAGUGGAAUUCCAUGUGUAGCGGUGAAAUGCGUAGAGAUAUGGAGGAACACCAGUGGCGAAGGGGCUUCCUGGUCUGUAACUGACACUGAGGAGCGAAAGCCAGGGGAGCGAACCGGAUUAGAUACCCCGGUA
This 268-nucleotide ribosomal RNA is filed under the name uncultured prokaryote. Its description in RNAcentral is "partial 16S ribosomal RNA". It matches the Rfam family "Bacterial small subunit ribosomal RNA", at positions 524 to 792 of the family's 1533-position model. The record is from RNAcentral.